GUGGUUCACUGGUAGAACUCUUGCUUUCUGUGCAGAAGGCCCAGGUUCAAUUCCUGGC
RNAcentral lists this transfer RNA (58 nucleotides) under Loxodonta africana (African savanna elephant). It matches the Rfam family "tRNA", at positions 7 to 64 of the family's 71-position model. Rfam says of the family: Transfer RNA (tRNA) molecules are approximately 80 nucleotides in length. Their secondary structure includes four short double-helical elements and three loops (D, anti-codon, and T loops). Further hydrogen bonds mediate the characteristic L-shaped molecular structure. tRNAs have two regions of fundamental functional importance: the anti-codon, which is responsible for specific mRNA codon recognition, and the 3' end, to which the tRNAs corresponding amino acid is attached (by aminoacyl-tRNA synthetases). tRNAs cope with the degeneracy of the genetic code in two manners: having more than one tRNA (with a specific anti-codon) for a particular amino acid; and 'wobble' base-pairing, i.e. permitting non-standard base-pairing at the 3rd anti-codon position. The record is from Rfam by way of RNAcentral. Lineage: Eukaryota; Metazoa; Chordata; Mammalia; Proboscidea; Elephantidae.